AUUCUUUUAGUAUAAAAAUUAUAUUUGACUUCCAAUCAAAAGAUCUUGAUCAAAAGAAAGAAUU
This 64-nucleotide transfer RNA is filed under the name Pentatomidae sp. GM-2014. RNAcentral describes it as "tRNA-Gly". The record is from RNAcentral. Lineage: Eukaryota; Metazoa; Arthropoda; Insecta; Hemiptera; Pentatomidae.